Molecule: ribosomal RNA, 429 nt
Filed under: Verrucomicrobiota bacterium
Lineage: Bacteria; Pseudomonadati; Verrucomicrobiota
Description: Verrucomicrobia bacterium partial 16S ribosomal RNA
Rfam family: Bacterial small subunit ribosomal RNA
Source: RNAcentral
UAGGGAAUCUUCCGCAAUGGACGAAAGUCUGACGGCGCAACGCCGCGUGAGUGAAGAAGGCUUUCGGUUCGUACACCUCUGUUGUUAGGUAAGAAAAAAUGUAUAGUAACUAUAUACAAACGAGACGGUACCUAACCAGAAAGCCACGGCUCACUACGUGCCAGCAGCCGCGUUAAUACGUAGGUGGCAAGCGUUGUCCGGAAUUAUUUGGCGUUUAGCGCGCGCAGGUGGUUUAGAAAGUCUGAUGUGAAAGCCCACGGCUCAACCGGGGAGAGUCACUGGAAACAAAUAAAAUUGAGUGCAGGAGAGAAAAGCGGAAUUCCUAGGGUAGCGGGGCAAUCCGUAGGGAUUAGGAAGAACACCGGUGGCGAAAGCGGCUUUUAGGCAUGCAACUGACACUGAGGCGCUAAAGCGUGGGGCGCAAACAGG